This 460-nucleotide ribosomal RNA is filed under the name uncultured bacterium. RNAcentral describes it as "partial 16S ribosomal RNA". It matches the Rfam family "Bacterial small subunit ribosomal RNA", at positions 338 to 795 of the family's 1533-position model. The record is from RNAcentral.
CCUACGGGUGACAGCAGUGAGGAAUAUUGGUCAAUGGACGAGAGUCUGAACCAGCCAAGUAGCGUGAAGGAUGACUGCCCUAUGGGUUGUAAACUUCUUUUAUACGGGGAUAAAACAGGUUACGCAUACCGUCUUGUAUGUACCGUAUGAAUAAGGAUCGGCUAACUCCGUGCCAGCAGCCGCGGUAAUACGGAGGGUCCGAGCGUUAUCCGGAUUUAUUGGGUUUAAAGGGAGCGUAGGCGGCAUGUUAAGUGUGUUGUGAAAUGGCGUGGCUCAACCAUGGCAUUGCGGCGAGAACUGGCUUGCUUGAGUGCGCGGAAGGUAGGCGGAAUUCGUGGUGUAGCGGUGAAAUGCUUAGAUAUCACGAAGAACUCCGAGUGCGAAGGCAGCAUACGGCAGUGCUACUGACGCUGAAGCUCGAAGGCGGGGGUAUCAAACAGGAUUAGAUACCCGAGUAGUC